GGUUAAGUUAGAAAGGGCGCACGGUGGAUGCCUUGGCACUAGGAGCCGAAGAAGGACGGGACUAACACCGAUAUGCUUUGGGGAGCUGUACGUAAGCGUUGAUCCAGAGAUUUCCGAAUGGGGGAACCCACUAUCUUUAGUCGGAUAGUAUCCUUACGUGAAUACAUAGCGUGAGGAAGGCAGACCCAGGGAACUGAAACAUCUAAGUACCUGGAGGAAGAGAAAGAAAAAUCGAUUUCCUGAGUAGCGGCGAGCGAAACGGAAAGAGCCCAAACCAAGAAGCUUGCUUCUUGGGGUUGUAGGACACUCUAUACGGAGUUACAAAAGAAAGUUAUAA
Molecule: ribosomal RNA, 337 nt
Filed under: Listeria monocytogenes
Lineage: Bacteria; Bacillati; Bacillota; Bacilli; Caryophanales; Listeriaceae
Also listed under: 1 other name
Description: partial 23S ribosomal RNA
Rfam family: Bacterial large subunit ribosomal RNA
Source: RNAcentral